This 1482-nucleotide ribosomal RNA is filed under the name uncultured Bordetella sp. Its description in RNAcentral is "partial 16S-23S ribosomal RNA intergenic spacer". It matches the Rfam family "Bacterial small subunit ribosomal RNA". Lineage: Bacteria; Pseudomonadati; Pseudomonadota; Betaproteobacteria; Burkholderiales; Alcaligenaceae. The record is from RNAcentral.
GGUUCGAUUAUGGCUCAGAUUGAACGCUGGCGGGAUGCUUUAUACAUGCAAGUCGAACGGCAGCACGGACUUCGGUCUGGUGGCGAGUGCGAACGGGUGAGUAAUGUAUCGGAACGUGCCUAGUAGCGGGGAUAACUACGCGAAAGCGUAGCUAAUACCGCACAUACGCCCUUCGGGGAAAGCGGGGGACCUUCGGCCUCGCACUAUUAGAGCGGCCGAUAUCGAUUAGCUUAGUUGGUGGGGUAACGGCUCACACUCAAGGCGACGAUCCGUAGCUGGUUUGAGAGGACGACCAGCCACACUGGGACUGAGACACGGCCCAGACUCCUACGGGAGGCAGCAGUGGGGAAUUUUGGACAAGCGGGGAAACCCUGAUCCAGCCAUCCUGCGUGUGCGAUGAAGGCCUUCGGGUUGUAAAGACCUCUUUGGCAGGAAGAAACGGCACGGGAUAAUACCCCGUGCAACUGACGGUACCUGCAGAAUAAGCACCGGCUAACCACGCCAGCAGCCGCGGUAAUACGAGGGGUGCAAGCGUUAAUCGGAAUUACUGGGCGUAAAUGUGCGCAGGCGGUUCGGAAAGAAAGAUGUGAAAUCCCAGAGCUUAACUUUGGAACUGCAUUUUUAACUACCGAGCUAGAGUGUGUCAGAGGGAGGUGGAAUUCGCGUGUAGCAGUGAAAUGCGUAGGAUAUGCGGAGGAGGAACACCGAUGGCGAAGGCAGCCUCCUGGGAUAACACUGACGCUCAUGCACGAAAGCGUGGGGAGCAAAUGAUUAGAUACCCUGGUAGUCCACGCUCCUAAAACGAUGUCAACUAGCCGUUGGGGCUUCGGGUCGGUAGCGCAGUAGCCAACGCGUGAAGCGACCGCCUGGGGAGUACGGUCGCAAGAUUAAAACUCAAAGGAAUUGACGGGGACCCGCACAAGCGGUGGAUGAUGAUUAAUCUGAUGCAACGCGAAAACCUUACCUACCCUUGACAUGUCUGAAUCCCGAAGAGAUUUGGGAGUGCUCGCAAAGAGAACCGGAACACAGGUGCUGCAUGGCUGUCGUCAGCUCGUGUCGAGAUGUUGGGUUAAGUCCCGCAACGAGCGCAACCCUUGUCAUUAGUUGCUACGAAAGGGCACUCUAAUGAGACUGCCGGUGACAAACCGGAGGAAGGUGGGGAUGACGUCAAGUCCUCAUGGCCCUUAUGGGUAGGGCUUCACACGUCAUACAAUGGUCGGGACAGAGGGUCGCCAACCCGCGAGGGGGAGCCAAUCCCAGAAACCCGAUCAGUCCGGAUCGCAGUCUGCAACUCGACUGCGUGAAGUCGGAAUCGCUAGUAAUCGCGGAUCAGCAUGUCGCGGUGAAUACGUUCCCGGGUCUUGUACACACCGCCCGUCACACUAAGCGGGAGUGGGUUUUACCAGAAGUAGUUAGCCUAACCGUAAGGAGGGCGAUUACCACGGUAGGAUUCAUGACUGGGGUGAAGUCGUAACAAGGUAA